Molecule: ribosomal RNA, 405 nt
Filed under: uncultured bacterium
Lineage: Bacteria
Description: partial 16S ribosomal RNA
Rfam family: Bacterial small subunit ribosomal RNA
Source: RNAcentral
AUUGAACGCUGGCGGCAGGCUUAACACAUGCAAGUCGAACGAGGGGCGGACGGGUGAGUAAUGCUUGGGCAUCUAGCUUAUGGAGGGGGAUAACUACGGGAAACUGUAGCUAAUACCGCGUACCAUAGGAUGAGCCAAAGUGGGAUUAGGUAGUUGGUGAGGUAAAGGCUCACCAAGCCGACGAUCUAUAGCUGGUCUGAGAGGAUGAACAGCCAACCUGGGACUGAGACACGGUCCAGACUCCUACGGGAGGCAGCAGUGGGGAAUAUUGCGCAAUGGGGGCAACCUGACGCAGCCAUGCCGCGUGAAUGAAGAAGGCCUUCGGCUUGUAAAGUUCUUUCGGUAGGGAGGCGGUAACUACAGAAGAAGCACCGGCUAACUCCGUGCCAGCAGCCGCGGUAAUUC